CUAUUUAGAGAAGAUUGAUUUAGUAGAAGGAAAAUGGGAAGAAGUGGGUGCUGUCGUGAACUGGCAUCUCGCAUACGGGGGGAAAACUGUAAUUUCCAAGGAGAUAUACGAGAGCAUAGAUGACGAAAAACUAUCAGUUACAUUCAAGGUGA
Long non-coding RNA from Juglans microcarpa x Juglans regia, 152 nucleotides. RefSeq lists it as uncharacterized. NCBI's taxonomy places the organism in Eukaryota, Viridiplantae, Streptophyta, Magnoliopsida, Fagales, Juglandaceae. The transcript has 3 exons. The record is from RefSeq and is a predicted model, not a curated record.